Molecule: non-coding RNA, 344 nt
Organism: Paramuricea clavata
Lineage: Eukaryota; Metazoa; Cnidaria; Anthozoa; Malacalcyonacea; Plexauridae
Source: the annotation of a GenBank genome assembly
AUUUUAUCAGUGGUUAUGAUGUGUUCCAUGCUGAUGUCUCUGUUGUUGCUGCAUCUGUUGUUGUUUUGUUGUUGUUAUUGUUGCUGUUGUUGUCAUUGUUGCUGUUGUUGUUGUUGCUUCUUUUGUUGUUGUUGUUAUUGUUGCUGUUGUUGUUGUUGUUGCUGUCACUGCUGUUGCUUCUUUUGUUGUUGUUGUUGUUGUUGUUGUUGUUGUUGUUGUUGUUGUUGCUGUCACUGCUGUUGCUUCUUUUGUUGUUGUUGUUGUUGUUGUUGUUGUUGUUGUUGUUGUUGUUGUUGUUGUUGUUGUUGUUGUUGUUGUUGUUGUUGUUGUUGCUGUUGUUGUUG